This 726-nucleotide ribosomal RNA is filed under the name uncultured bacterium. RNAcentral describes it as "bacterial SSU rRNA". It matches the Rfam family "Bacterial small subunit ribosomal RNA", at positions 751 to 1482 of the family's 1533-position model. The record is from RNAcentral.
GCUCGAAAGCGUGGGUAGCAAACAGGAUUAGAUACCCUGGUAGUCCACGCCGUAAACGAUGAUUACUAGGUGUAGGGGGGUCAACCUUCUGUGCCGGAGUUAACACAAUAAGUAAUCCACCUGGGGAGUACGACCGCAAGGUUGAAACUCAAAGGAAUUGACGGGGGCCCGCACAAGCAGUGGAGUAUGUGGUUUAAUUCGAAGCAACGCGAAGAACCUUACCAGGUCUUGACAUCCAACUAACGAAGUAGAGAUACAUUAGGUGCCCUUCGGGGAAAGUUGAGACAGGUGGUGCAUGGUUGUCGUCAGCUCGUGUCGUGAGAUGUUGGGUUAAGUCCCGCAACGAGCGCAACCCUUACAUUUAGUUGCUACGCAAGAGCACUCUAGAUGGACUGCCGUUGACAAAACGGAGGAAGGUGGGGAUGACGUCAAAUCAUCAUGCCCCUUAUGACCUGGGCUACACACGUACUACAAUGGCUAUUAACAGAGGGAAGCAAAACAGUGAUGUGGAGCAAACCCCUAAAAAUAGUCUCAGUUCGGAUUGUAGGCUGCAACUCGCCUACAUGAAGCCGGAAUUGCUAGUAAUCGCGGAUCAGCAUGCCGCGGUGAAUACGUUCCCGGGCCUUGUACACACCGCCCGUCACACCAUGAGAGUUGGCAACACCCGAAGUCAGUAGUCUAACCGCAAGGAGGACGCUGCCGAAGGUGGGGUUGAUGAUUAGGGUG